This 1289-nucleotide ribosomal RNA is filed under the name human gut metagenome. Its description in RNAcentral is "bacterial LSU rRNA". It matches the Rfam family "Bacterial large subunit ribosomal RNA", at positions 1287 to 2653 of the family's 2925-position model. The record is from RNAcentral.
AGUGAGAAUGCCGGAAUGAGUAGCGAGAAUUAUGUGAGAAUCAUAAUGGCCGAAAGACUAAGGUUUUAGAAGGAAGGUUCGUCCGCUUCUAGUCAGCCGGGAGCUAAGGCGAGGCCGAAAGGCGUAGUCGAUGCACAUACGGUGGAGAUUCCGUAGCCGCCAUUAAUUUAAACAGAGGGACACUUUCAAGGGGCAUGACCCGGGCGUUGGUAGACCCGGGCGUAAGGGACCGAAGAUUAGUAGGGAAGCAUGCUUUAAGGAAGGCGAGAAAAGCUCUGUGUAUAGAAGAUGGCGCCCGUACCGCAAACCGACACAGGUAGUCAGGAAGAGAAUUCUAAGGCCAACGGGAGAAGGGUAGUUAAGGAACUCGGCAAAUUGACCCCGUAACUUCGGAAUAAGGGGUGCUCACGAGAGUGAGCCGCAGUGAAUAGGUCCAGGCGACUGUUUAUCAAAAACACAGCUCUCUGCUAAAUCGAAAGAUGACGUAUAGGGGGUGACACCUGCCCGGUGCUGGAAGGUUAAGAGGAAGGGUGCAAGCUCUGAAUUGAAGCCCCAGUAAACGGCGGCCGUAACUAUAACGGUCCUAAGGUAGCGAAAUUCCUUGUCGGGUAAGUUCCGACCCGCACGAAUGGUGUAACGAUCUGGACACUGUCUCAACUACCCACCCGGCGAAAUUGUAGUACCGGUGAAGAUGCCGGUUACCCGCGGCAAGACGGAAAGACCCCAUGGAGCUUUACUGUAACCUGAUAUUGGGUUUCGGUAUUUUAUGUACAGGAUAGGUGGGAGACUAAGAAACUAAGGCGCCAGCCUUAGCGGAGUCGCCCUUGGGAUACCACUCUUAAAGUACUGAAAUUCUAACCUGCGGCCGUGAAUCCGGUCGGGGGACAUUGUCAGGCGGGCAGUUUGACUGGGGCGGUCGCCUCCAAAAGAGUAACGGAGGCGCUCAAAGGUUCGCUCAGCAUGGUCGGAAACCAUGCCUUAGAGUGUAAACGCAAAAGCGAGCCUAACUGCGAGGCUGACGGGCCGAGCAGUAACGAAAGUUGGAGUUAGUGAUCCGGCGGUAUGUGAAUGGAAAUGCCGUCGCUCAACGGAUAAAAGCUACCCUGGGGAUAACAGGCUGAUCUCCCCCAAGAGUCCACAUCGACGGGGAGGUUUGGCACCUCGAUGUCGGCUCAUCGCAUCCUGGGGCUGUAUUCGGUCCCAAGGGUUUGGCUGUUCGCCAAUUAAAGCGGUACGCGAGCUGGGUUCAGAACGUCGUGAGACAGUUCGGUCCCUAUCUGUCGUGGGCG